This 415-nucleotide unclassified non-coding RNA is filed under the name Ascomycota sp. RNAcentral's name for it is "partial contains small subunit ribosomal RNA, internal transcribed spacer 1, and 5.8S ribosomal RNA". The stretch from base 1 to 47 matches the Rfam family "Eukaryotic small subunit ribosomal RNA", at positions 1785 to 1831 of the family's 1831-position model. Lineage: Eukaryota; Fungi; Ascomycota. The record is from RNAcentral.
AAAGUCGUAACAAGGUUUCCGUAGGUGAACCUGCGGAAGGAUCAUUAACACGUUAUCCACGUAUUCUCUUAUCAACAACACUACGAACUAUGCUCCCUGUUAGAAGACCUCAAGGGUUCCCGUGUGUGACUAUUGUGGGCUUGUUGGGUUUCGACCUGAUGAGCACGUCAUGCCGAAGGGAUGGAUUGAUACGCCCGAGCGGAGCGCAAACCCGAGAAACUUUCUAACAGAUCAUUGAUUCCCUUGUCCGUGGCGGAAGCCAAUCCCAACCCCAUUGGGCGACGAGGCGACACCAUACCCCUUUCACCCUAUUUUACUAAUUUGACUAAUUAUACAUUUGUCGGGAGAAAUCCUGAUGAAUUCUAAGAUUUAUCUUAACUAAGCACAACUCUUAGCAAUGGAUAUCUUGGUUCUC